AGCGAACGCUGGCGGCAUGCCUAACACAUGCAAGUCGCACGGGGGGGCUUCGGCCUCCCAGUGGCGGACGGGGGAGGAAAGCGUAGGGACCUGUCGAGGGGUGGGGGAUAACCGCGGGAAACUGCGGCUAAUACCGCAUGACGCCGCGGCGUGACAGCCGGGGCCACAGGCGAGAGCCGCCCGCCGAGGGGCCUGCGUCCGAUUAGCUGGUUGGCGGGGUAGCGGCCCACCAAGGCGUCGAAAGGUAGCUGGGCUGAGAGGGUGAUCAGCCACACCGGGAGUGAGACACGGCCCGGACUCCUACGGGAGGCAGCAGUGGGGAAUAUUGGACGAUGGGCGCAAGCCUGAUGCAGCAAUGCCGCGUGGGUGAAGAAGGUCUGCGGAUUGUAAAGCCCUUUCGGCGGGGACGAUGGUGACGGUACCCGCAGAAGAAGCCCCGGCUAACUUCGUG
This 451-nucleotide ribosomal RNA is filed under the name uncultured bacterium. RNAcentral describes it as "partial 16S ribosomal RNA". It matches the Rfam family "Bacterial small subunit ribosomal RNA", at positions 30 to 507 of the family's 1533-position model. The record is from RNAcentral.